This is an RNA transcript of Solanum pennellii, 2015 nucleotides long. It is a transcript of the gene named serine/arginine repetitive matrix protein 1, with no coding region annotated. Lineage: Eukaryota; Viridiplantae; Streptophyta; Magnoliopsida; Solanales; Solanaceae. The transcript is spliced from 5 exons. The record is from RefSeq and is a predicted model, not a curated record.
UGUCAAGUCUCCCAUGUGCAUCUCCGGAUUCAGGAUUGUAAUCAAAUAAACUUUCUUCCUCUAUGCACUUUGCUCUUUCACUUGGUGAAGCCUAUCUCAUUGCCUCUCUUUCUCUUUCUGUCUAGGGUUUUCUCUUCCCCAGAUAACUUUUCAGCAACUCAAUCUUGCUUUAUAUGUUUAGAUUUCAGUCACAAUGAGAAUUUUUUGGACUUGAUAUACUUGCUUAUUUAUUAUUCUCUUCUGUUUGAUUUGAAGAAAAGAUUUGGAUAUUCUUGUUUGUACUAUGACUUCUACAGUUCCAGCAAAGUCUAAUAACCCACUUCACAACUUUGAUUUGCCAUAUUUGAAAUGGAAGAAGAAUCAGCAUUCAAACAAUCACCAACGCCGCCGAUCCAAUAAGCUUUCUUCAGAUUCAUCUUCCCCCUCGCCGCAGCGUCACUCUCCAAUGCGUGAAUCCAUGGCGGCGGCGGCGGCGGCGGCGCGUCAGUCUCCUAUGCGUGAUUCUGUUGCACGCCAGUCUCCCAUGCGGGAGCCUAUUCCGGGGUUUCGUCAGUCUCCCAUGCGCGAGUCAUCCUCUCCGAUGCGUGAUUUGGUUGUGGCAAAUCACCGGUCUCCGAUGCGUGAUUCUGUUGUGGCGUCUCGCCGGUCUCCGAUGAGUGAUUCUGUUGUGGCGUCUCGCCGGUCUACGAUUCAUGAUUCUAAUGCGGCGGCAUCUCGACGGUCUCCGAUGUCUGAGUUUGUUGCUGCGGCUCGCCAGUCUCCGAUCUCGGAAUCCAUUACGGCGUUUCGCCAGUCUUCCAUGCGUGAUUCCGUGCCUCCACGUCAGUCUCCGAUGAGGGAGUCUGUGCCGCCGCGUCAGUCUCCAAUGCACUGUGAAUCUGUUCCUGAAUCGGACAAGGACACAAGUGUUGUUAAGUAUCGUAGACAUUCACGAAUUUCAGCACCUGAGAGUACGAAGAAAGGGAUCUGUGAAAAAUCAGAUAAGAAGCAUAAAGUUUUAGAGGUGGAUGCGGCUGGGAGUAAAGAAGGUAGAUCGAAAAUCUUGCUCAAAAUCCCUCGGAAAAAUCAUGAAGAGCAUAGGGGUGAUGAAUCUCAAGAGGUUACUGCAGAAGAGGAGGCUGCUGAAGAUACAGCACCAAAAACGUGGAAUCUGAGACCCAGAAAGGCUGUACAAAAGUCAUCAAAUCUGAAUGGAGGUCCAUUUCGAGCCAGUGGAUCGGCUAUACAGGAGAACAAAUUUCAAUCGCCUCACAUGAAUGUGAACAAGCCAGAAAAUAAUGAAUCCAACCCUCCGAAGAAGGAAAAGAGGCCUAGGUUUUCGAUAGCCCUCUCCAGAGAAGAGAUUGAUGAAGAUAUAUAUGCUAUGACUGGAUCAAAGGCUACAAGAAAACCUAAGAAGAGAGUGAAGAAUGUUCAGAAACAACUUGAUACCCUCUUCCCUGGUUUAUGGCUAACUUCAAUAACUCCUGAUUUGUAUAAAGUUUGUGAAAAUGUUCCAAAGGGUUAAAAGGAAUCCUUCAAAGUUGGUGGUUGUCCUUCGAAUGUCCUUUGCUUUUUGUGGAAGUUUGAAGGUGAUGGCUUCCAAAUUUUAUGAUUUCAUUUGGAGGUUCAGGAAUAUGAGACUUCCAGCCUUAAAAGUUGUUAUCCAACACAAAUUCUCUUCUCCCAAAAACAUUAUUUGAGAGGUAGGAGGCAGUUAUAAGCUGAUAUAUGUGAAGGAGGGACCAUUUUGACUCCUUCAUUUAAGCAUCAUCAUCCAUCCCACUGAGUAACAAUCAGUAUAUCUGUUGAAGUAGGUCAGUGGGAGGCAGCCUUACACUGGACCUGGCUUGGUUAAGUUACGAAGAUGAAGAACAUCAUCCAGGUUCCAACUUUGUGUAUUUUCUCAUAAUAGAGGUUUACUUCUCAUCAUAAACAUUAUUAUUUCUUCCCCUGCUUCAUUCCUGAUCAUCUCUAUGUUCAGGUUGCAACAUACUGUGUGAUUGUAUGAUUGCAGAUUUAGGUGUUUGGGCACA